This 331-nucleotide ribosomal RNA is filed under the name uncultured eukaryote. RNAcentral describes it as "partial 18S ribosomal RNA". It matches the Rfam family "Eukaryotic small subunit ribosomal RNA", at positions 1470 to 1796 of the family's 1831-position model. The record is from RNAcentral.
CCCUUAGAUGUUCUGGGCCGCACGCGCGCUACACUGACGGAGGCAGCGAGCAUGUCCUUCGCCGAGAGGUGUGGGGAAUCUUGUGGGUCUCCGUCGUGCUGGGGAUAGAUGGUUGCAAUUGUCGAUCUUGAACGAGGAAUUCCUAGUAAGCGCGAGUCAUCAGCUCGCGCUGAUUACGUCCCUGCCCUUUGUACACACCGCCCGUCGCUACUACCGAUUGGAUGGCUUAGCGAGAAUUUUGGAUCGGAGCCCGGGUGGUCGGCAACGGUCGCCCGGGAGAUCUGAGAAAUCAUUCCAGCUUGGUCAUCUAGAGGAAGUAAAAGUCGUAACA